GAGAAAAUAUUUUUAGAAAUGAAAUAUUUGCACUUACGUAGUUAAUAAACUUUGUAUUCCUUAUACAGGUUCAAUUCUAGAAAUUUCAGUUUCAAAACUCCUUGUGCUGCCUUUUAGAGAUUGUGAGAAUUCACAUUUGAUAUAAAAAUGUUCAACUCUGCAGACAUGGCCUUUUCGUUGGAUAAUUUCUUUUAUGAAAGACCAGAUAAAAAACAAGGAUAUCUAGAAAAUGAAGAGCCAAAGAUGUGGUAUAUUGCACCUGCUCCAGCUAUUACUGAAAUUCCAGCUGCAGAGGAGUUACAGAAGGAACUGGAAAAAAACACAGUCUACAGUCAUAUGGGAGAGAGACAGCAUCAGAAGUUUAUACAGCCGUGCAAGAGAAAUACUGAGGAAGUAAAUGAGAAGUCACGAGCACCUGUUCAUUUUGGGAUAGCUUCUAAAAAAGAAGAGCUCCAGUUAGGUUUAGGAGAAAAGGAUAAAACUAAUUUUCAGUGUGAAAGUCUGAAAAUGGUUUCAUCAUUUCUCUCAUCUGACCAAGAUAAAUAUAAAACAGGAAUUGGGGCUUGUCAACAACCUGGUGCAAAUAUGUCACAAAACAAAAUAUUAAUUAAUCUUCCAGACAACAGUGAUGAUGAAAGUAUCCAUUCAACAUUAAGAAAAAGGUAUGUUUCUAGGCAAUUAUGAUAAUCUGUCUAUUAGCCGAAUCAUAUUAUUGUUUCAGGUGUAUUUGUCAAAUGCAGAGAUUUGGAUUCUUAAAUGAAAGUGCCUUAAUAGGGCUACAGGCACUCAUUUUUUUGAAUGUAAGGAGAAAAAGAAAUUCCUUCUGGCAGUCUUUUAGUACUGUAAUUGUAUGUGUCCUGAGCUCAACCUGCUUUACAAGGAAGGUAAGGAGGAGGUUGGUUUGAUUAAUUUUAAAUAAGCUAUCAGAUAACAAGGGUUCUUUGAAAUACUGUUUUUAGUUGUUCAUCUACUUGGUAAAGAGCAAGAAAACUAAGGUCACUUCCUUUUCAGAGGAGGGUUCAGGUAGCCAAGAAUACCUAUGUUAUUUCAGUGCUCUCCGGGAGGAGGAGUUUUACAGGUAAAUUCAGCUUCUAUGCCCAGCUCUUCUCAGUCCUCAAAAGCUGUACGCCUCUAUUCUUUUUAGUUACGCAGAGACUGACAAUUAAUUUGCUAUAGGGAUUGAGACCCCAUCUGGACAAGUCGUUUAUUCUUUCAGCCCUGGAAUGAAAGUAAAACUAAAUUUAUUGUGAAAGGAGUCUUCUUCAGGUAGAAAAAUGUCAGUUGAAGCAUAUAAAAUAAGAUCCAAACUUAUUCUAUGACUAUACCUUACUAGUUUUGCCUGCAAUAUAAACGUGCAUCUUUUUCAAAUGUUAGAGAAACUGCAUAAUGUAUAAUAAAUUGAUGAAGAUCCUGUAUCCUUUGCA
This 1424-nucleotide long non-coding RNA is filed under the name Struthio camelus australis. RNAcentral describes it as "lncRNA (ENSSCUG00000015835.1)". Lineage: Eukaryota; Metazoa; Chordata; Aves; Struthioniformes; Struthionidae. The record is from RNAcentral.